Small nuclear RNA from Homo sapiens (human), 104 nucleotides. Lineage: Eukaryota; Metazoa; Chordata; Mammalia; Primates; Hominidae. The record is from Ensembl.
AUGCCCACUUCAGCAGCACAUAUACUAAAACUGGAACGAUACAGAGAUUAGCAUGGCCCCUGUGCAAGGAUGACACACAAAUUCAUGAAGCAUUCUAUAUUUUU